CUGGGAACUGCGUUUGUGACUGCAAGGCUAGAGUACGGCAGAGGGGGGUGGAAUUCCACGUGUAGCAGUGAAAUGCGUAGAGAUGUGGAGGAACACCAAUGGCGAAGGCAGCCCCCUGGGUCGAUACUGACGCUCAUGCACGAAAGCGUGGGUAGCAAACAGGAUUAGAUACCCUGGUAGUCCACGCCCUAAACGAUGUCAACUAGGUGUUGGGUGGGUAAAACCAUUUAGUACCGGAGCUAACGCGUGAAGUUGACCGCCUGGGGAGUACGGCCGCAAGGUUAAAACUCAAAGGAAUUGACGGGGACCCGCACAAGCGGUGGAUGAUGUGGAUUAAUUCGAUGCAACGCGAAAAACCUUCCUACCCUUGACAUGUCCAGAAGCCUGAAGAGAUUUGGGUGUGCCGAAAGGGAACUGGAACACAGGUGCUGCAUGGCUGUCGUCAGCUCGUGUCGUGAGAU
This 461-nucleotide ribosomal RNA is filed under the name uncultured bacterium. RNAcentral describes it as "bacterial SSU rRNA". It matches the Rfam family "Bacterial small subunit ribosomal RNA", at positions 614 to 1073 of the family's 1533-position model. The record is from RNAcentral.